This is a long non-coding RNA of Anas platyrhynchos (mallard), 1660 nucleotides long. RefSeq lists it as uncharacterized. Lineage: Eukaryota; Metazoa; Chordata; Aves; Anseriformes; Anatidae. The record is from RefSeq and is a predicted model, not a curated record.
CCUCUUCAGGUAGGAAGAUGAGCAGCACUAUCCUUCUCACUGAUUUUCUUUCAAUGAACAGGUCAUGGUUUUUAAUUUAACAGCUCUCCAGAAAUAGAAAAAAGAAGUGAAUUACUCCUGAAGUGGCUGGAGUCAAUAUAACAGCGUAACAGGGUUGGAAAAGAUUGGUAAACCAGCACAAAAAUAGUCCAGCCUGAGUCUUGUACAAGUUUGCAUCACUGCGGGAUGUGGUGGGCCUCAAGACACUAGGCAUUUUUGGCACAGCUUGCACUUCCAUUGCAGCUGUAGGAAGGCUGGAGAAUUGCCAUUCAGGGAUGGAACUAAUAUAGAAAUUUCUUUACUCGAUAACACAAUUAGAACCAAUUGUCAUCACCUUUGGCCUUGCUCUGUGAAGGUAAAAUGGCUUAUAAUAUUAACAGGUUGCUGAAGCCCAUUUAAACCUUCACUGAAGUAGCAACUGAAGUCCUCUGCAAAGCCACAGUGUCACCUCUGCUGUGUCCCUCCUUGGGCUGGUCUGGGUGGUUGGUAAUGUGGUCAGUGCUAGCUGGCUGACCUGAAGGACUUCUUGUGACAUACCUGCUAUUGCCAGCUGCUGGAGCACGUGUCAUAGAAGGGGAUUUCUUCUACUGUAAAACUUAACAUACUGUACAUAGUACAUAGUAGCAUCUGCCAGAAAUGCAACACUAUUGUUAUUUUUCCCGUCAUGUUAUGGCAAAUGAAAAUAUAAACAAUUAGGUUACUGCAUAAUUCCUGCAGAGUCAUUGAAGUCAGCCCAAGGUUACACCUAAAGCACAUUCCUUUUCUACAUAAAAUAUUUUCUGCAUAAUAAUCUACAUAAAACCUUUUCUACAUAAAUAAAUUUAUUUCCCACUAAUUUUCCAACAUUUAUUUAAAGGUUAAGGGAAAAAAGUUUUAUGUGAUGGCCAUUGACUUAAACAAUAAGGAAACCAACCAAACUGCUUGCAUCUUCUCUACUGUGUAUUAGUGUCAGAGAAAUCUGGGAUAUUUAUGUAUCCUUUAAAAAAGAAAAAAAAAAGGAUAGAAAAUAAAUAUCAGCAUUUUCUCUGUUACAGUUCAAUCAUAAGUUAGGCCCAGUGCCAACAUCUUAUUUUUGUUUGCCCCACAAAAAAUCGUAUGUGAAAUAGGGAGCUUAUUUCACAGCCUACAGCUGUUUCUCAACUCAUUUAUUGAUUUCCAGAGUUAAAGGAGAUGAUAAAUAAUAUUUCAGAAACAGAAUAUUUAUAUCUAAGGUGGCUUUAUAAUUAAAAGAACAUUUUCUAUGUUGAUUUAUACUGAAGUUUCUUGAUUAAUUCUUAUGGAAAGUAGUAUUGAGCUGUCGUCUUAGCUUGAUAAAUCUAAUUCUGAUCUUUUAUAUCUAUGAAGGCCCUACAGAACUAGUAACUUACAGAAGCUUGCAAUAAAAAAAAAAAAAAAAGGCUCUCUGGCAAAGUGUCUUAUUCCAAUUAUUUUCUGAUUCAUCUUUCUGUGUUCUUUCAUGGUUGCCACAUGAAAUAGAAAGCUAUUGCUCUUUUAUUACUUUUAUUAACUGUUACAUCCAUAUUCAUAUUUCAAAUACACUUUAUGUAGUUAAUCAAUGGUGAUAUUUAUUGCUGUCUUAGAUAUUGAAAAGAGGUGGAAAAAAACAAAGACCCUUUUUCAA